UACGUAGGUGGCAAGCGUUAUCCGGAUUUACUGGGUGUAAAGGGCGUGUAGGCGGGGAAGCAAGUCAGAUGUGAAAACCACGGGCUCAACCUGUGGCCUGCAUUUGAAACUGUUUUUCUUGAGUGCUGGAGAGGCAGUCGGAAUUCCGUGUGUAGCGGUGAAAUGCGUAGAUAUACGGAGGAACACCAGUGGCGAAGGCGGAUUGCUGGACAGUAACUGACGCUGAGGCGCGAAAGCGUGGGGAGCAAACAGG
This 253-nucleotide ribosomal RNA is filed under the name uncultured bacterium. RNAcentral describes it as "partial 16S ribosomal RNA". It matches the Rfam family "Bacterial small subunit ribosomal RNA", at positions 524 to 776 of the family's 1533-position model. The record is from RNAcentral.